This 468-nucleotide ribosomal RNA is filed under the name uncultured bacterium. Its description in RNAcentral is "partial 16S ribosomal RNA". It matches the Rfam family "Bacterial small subunit ribosomal RNA", at positions 28 to 507 of the family's 1533-position model. The record is from RNAcentral.
GACGAACGCUGGCGGCGUGCUUAACACAUGCAAGUCGAACGGAAAGGCCCUGCUUUUUUGGGGUUCUCGAGUGGCGAACGGGUGAGUAACACGUGAGUAACCUGCCCUUUACUUUAGGAUAACUUCAGGAAACUGGGGCUAAUACCGGAUAGGAGCUCCUGCUGCAUGGUGGGGGUGGGAAAGUGUCGGCGUGUGGGGCGGGACGCCCGGCUGAUCAGCUUGUUGGUGGGGUGGUGGCUUACAAAGGCAUUGACGGGUAGCCGGCCUGAGAGGGUGACCGGUGACAUUGGGACUGAGAUACGGCCCAGACUCCUACGGGAGGCAGCAGUGGGGAAUAUUGCACAAUGGGCGGAAGUCUGAUGCAGCAACGCCGCGUGUGGGAUGACGGCCUUCGGGGUGUAAACCGCGUUCGCCUGUGACGAAGCGUGAGUGACGGUAAUGGGUAAAGAAGCACCGGCUAACUACGUG